CUAAUACAGUGCUUAAUACAGAUGGAGAUUCAAUAAAUAUUAGUUGAAUGAAUUAAUUAAUGAAUGAGCAAUGGCCUUGGAGGCAGAAACAUACCUACAUGAUGUCAAAAAUACCAGCUAGAGAAUCACUGUUCCAGUAGUUUAAAGAUAUACCCAGAUACUCCCGCCUGCAGAGCACAUGUGUUUGUCCGCUCUCAGCAAAGCCAGUAGCAAAGUGGUAAUGGCCUUGGCCCUUCAUGGCUGGGAAAGACAAGUGGAAUCCAGACCUGGGUGCAAUGCUGAUCCACAAGAAGACUGUGAGGAAUACUGCAGCUUAGGAAGGUUAAGACUAACUUCCAGGACUGCCUCUGUGUUUUUUCCUGCCUGUGGCUCCAGCCCGACAGCUUUACAAUGAUUAAAAGCCUGACUCCUGCUGUCACCAAACCAAGCGUUUCAGACUUAAAGCCAUGAGAACCCAAUCCUUUCGCCUUUCAGCAAGCAUUUAUUGAGACCGAGGAGACACUAGAGAUUCAAAGGUCUUUGCAGCUGUAAUUGAGUUAAGAAUCUUGAGAUGAGAUCAUCCAAGUGGGCUUUAAAUCCAAUGACAAGUAUCCUUGUAAGACAGAAAGAGAAGACAAAGAGGAAAAACUGUGUGAAGACGGAGGCACCAACUGAAGUUACACACAUAGCCACAAGCUAAAGAAUGCCUGGAGUCACCAGAGACUGCACAAGGCAAGGAAGUAUUUAUUCCCUGCUAGAGGCUUCAAAAGUGUGGUCUUCCGACACCUUGGUUUCAAACUUGCAGCCUGAAAUAGUGUCAGAAUAGCUUUCUAUUGUUUUAAGCCACCAGGUUGGUGAUAGUUUGCUGUAGCAUCCCUAGAAAGCUAAUGUAUUUUCUUUUAAUAGCCUAUGCCUAACAGUUAUUUUUCAGAGAGUUACUUUAUAAGUGCUUGUCAUAGUAUAUAAUGUAAAUCAACUUGGACAAGGUAAUUUAAUCCCUCAGAGUCAGUUUUUUUUUUUUAACCUAAUCUCAUUUUCACAGGAUGUUGAGAUAAUAAAAUAAAUAAAACUAUGUAGCAGACAACUGGUAAAGGACAGUUACUCCAAGAUUUAUCCAUUUGAGAUCAGGACCCAAAGCAUACUACAGAUGCCCUGUUGAAGCAAGGCCUCCCAGCAGAGAGCUGGGGUAAUUAACGUGCAAAGCCCUGAGUCUGUGUCAGAAUCUCUUUUGCAUGUAACCGCUUACACCAUCUGCUGUCAGCCCUUGUUUCUCACCAGCUAACCACUGCCCUCUCCCCCAACCUCCUCUACUUCCUGUUUACGUAGAUAGCUGCUUCCUGGCCAAGGGAACUGAACCGUUUCAGUCAGACUACUUUUCCCCUGGACCUAUGCCAGGAAUAUCUUCUUUGCUCUCUCCUUCUGCUUUUUUCUUACAGUAGAAGCCAUCACAUUCAUGAGCAGCAAACUGCAUCCCAGAGCGAUUCCUAGCUAUACAGCUAAUCCUCUUCCUGGCUAUUGGACUGAAUAUAAGGAAUAAUAUAUCAGGCAUUAUAAUAUAUCAGGCAUUAUGUGAGGAAAUUUGUCCAUCCCUGCUUGCCUCAGCACCUCCAAACUAUUGAUACUAAUGCUUUUUUAAUUCAAAUGUACUGGCUAGGAUGCUUCUAUCCUCAGCCCUAGCCCUGUCCUGUUUGGAAAACUGCUCUGAUCAGUUAGCAGAACAGCAGUAGGUUAAACUCAGCCAGGACACCAAGUUGGGAAAGUUGUUGAAAUGAUCCAAUUCAUGAGUCCUAACAUGAGCAAAUAUCCAAAUAAUCAGAGGAGCUCUUUCAAACAAAUAAACAUUUGGAACUUGCGUGCCUUUGGGAAAAAAAUCAUAGAUGAUAAAGAUGUUUUAAAACCAUAACUUACACUUACUGUCCUUAGCACAAUAGAUAAGAAUGUGGACUCUGAAGCCUGUGAGGAUGGCCUGAAUGGCUUUGGGCAUGUUACUUAACUUCUCUAUUUCUCAAUUUCCUCAUCAGUAAAACAGUGGAGAUAAUACUACCUGCUCCGUAGAAUUGUGAGGAGUGAGUUAAUAUCACUAAAAAGCACUUAGAAGUAUAGCCUAUUAUUACUAUUACUUUUAUUGUUGUUUUUAUUAUUCUGCUGGAGACAAAGUUGUUCAGAAGGUGGGAUGCCUGAAUUAGCAAUGUGAAGACAACAUAGGUAGAAGUGGUGGCAGGUUUUAUGUAUGAAAAUGGAAGUGGGUAACAGGGAUGGAAUAGAGGAAAGACCAUGAUUAGAAGGAGAAAAUUUAUAGUGUUGAAUCAUGUGCUCUGGGACUAGAGCACUGGAAUUUAGAUCAUGCGUUUACUACGUUAUGGUGGCCCAGCUGUGAGCCAAUUACUUGUGUCUUCAUGUGUAAAACAGAAAUUAUAAUAGUGACUUAUCUUA
Molecule: long non-coding RNA, 2412 nt
Organism: Chinchilla lanigera (long-tailed chinchilla)
Lineage: Eukaryota; Metazoa; Chordata; Mammalia; Rodentia; Chinchillidae
Exons: 4
Source: RefSeq, a predicted model, not a curated record